GUGGAGAGAGACUCCUGGAGACCAGUUGGAGCCAAGCCUCCAUUAUCUCCUGCUUGCAGGACUUCUGCAUGAAGCCAACACAUCCAAAUGUGCAUAAGACUUACGAACAGCAGACAAGCUCCAUGACAUCUUCUGAGAGUGAAGCUGUGCCGUGUCAGGGGUUGGGACAGCAGCAGCAAGGGAGAUCAGCCCGAGGCCUGGGGAGACACAGCCGGGAAAUCUCGGUGUGUGUAGCCCUGGGGUCUGAGGCCUCCAACUGUCCAUGUGGUUCCCACAGCUCAAGUCCAGCGUGUGAUCAUGACCUAGGACAGGGCCACUCAGAGCACAGUUCAUUUCAAAUGUGAUGGUGGCGCUGAAUGAUACACCAACAUGCCGGAAGAGAAUCGCCAGAACUCACGUGCAGAAGGCAUGGAUCAGGCCACUCCCAGCAAUACAGAUGCCCUCAGCACCCUGCAGCUGCCUCCCGCCUCCAUCCCCACACAGCAGCCUCCUGGGACAACAUCCUGCUUCCACCUUGCAGCUGCCUCCCGUCCCCCCGCCCCUCCCCACAGAGGCAUCCUGUGACAACAUCCUACUUCCACCCUGCAGCUGUCUCCCGUCCCCAACACACAGCGGCCUCCUGGGACAACAUCCUACUUGCCAGACACAGCCUGGAGCCCCCAAAGCAUGGACGGGCUUAGCGAGCCACACAGCAUUUCCCCUUCACACCUGGGAAGUCAGCCCCUCACUGAAGUGGGUCCUGCGCCCGCCAGCUGUGCACGAUCAGAGUCGUGAGGUUAUGGACCUGGUCACCCACAGUGCAGAGAGGCAUGAGGUCAUGGACCUGGUCACCCGCUGUGCAUGAUCAGAGGUGUGCGAGGUUCCAGACCUGCUCACCCACUAUGCACAAUCAGUGGUGUGAGGUUAUGGACCUGGUCACCCACUGUGCACGAUCAGAGCCGUGCGAGGUUACAGACCUGGUCACCAGCUGCACCCAAUCAGAAGCUUUUGAGGUUAGGGACCUGGUCACCCGCUGUGCACAGAAGUGUGAGGUUAUGGACCUGAUCACCUGCUGUGUCCAAUCAGAGCCAGGCAAUGUUACAGAUCUAGUCACCAGCUGCACCCAAUCAGAAGCUUUCAAGGUUAUGGACCUGGUCACCCACUGUAUCCAAUCAGAGGCAUGUAAGGUUAGGGACCAUGCACGUGGUGAUGGACCUAGUCACCCGCCAAGACUCCUGAUGUUUCCAGUGUCAUCCCAUCUUCCUUCAAAACUUGAAAAAUCUUUAGAUAUUUCCCAAAGCUCGUCCAUCUUUGAAAACGAUAUGUGUGCACACAGCCUGAACGUGCACGUACAUGCUCUGCUGCAGGUGCACUGCCGUAUGUGGACCAGCGACGCUCUUUCCUGCCUCGGAUUCUCGUCACUGCCUUCCGUAAAGCUCUCGCCUGCUUUACAGCCAUGCCAGCCAGGCCUGGUCAGCCACACAGUGAAAUUCCUGCAGUGUCAGAGCUAAGUGCUGGCUGAGACUUUAACAGCGAAGACAGCGGAGUAAUGGGGAUAAAGUGAACAAAACUGUAUUGUAACGCAGACGAAAGUCUAGAAGCAAAAGCAGCUGACACUCCUGAGAGAGCAGGCGACUGCGUCUCACUAUGAUGUUAAUAGCAACUUGCUGUUUCCUGCGCCUCCUUGUGCCAGGGUUUCCAGUCAUCAUUUGUGUUUAUCUGCUCCUGGGCUGCCUGAUCAAAUCUCUGUAGAGAUCAGAGAUAUCUAAAUUGACCCAGUAUCUGCACGCUGGCUGCUCAAAGGCCGUGGUGUGGAACAGCCAGGACAUCGCUUAGUCAUACGGGGCACAAGCACGUCACUUGCCACUCCUGUCUAUUUCAUCCAACCCUAUUUUCUCCUGAAUAUUGAGCAUAGCAAAGUCAUUAGCCUUUGAGAUGCAUUUGAGACAUCAACUUGCUUUAUUCAAGAGGUUUAAGACACAUGUAGGUCUUUCUUGCCAUGCUCAACACACAGGGCCGGCCGUUUCUGAAGUCAGUGAUUCUGGAACAAAAGCCUUGGCCUGCCCCUUGAACAUUCACGCUGAGCACACUGUCGCGAGGCUGCUUGGCCAGCCAGCAGAGGGCAGGAGAGAGCCGCAGGUGCCGCGUGGGGUCCCCGCAAACCCGCCUCACUCCCUCAAUCAAGGGCGGUGCCUCCUGCCAAUGUAGUGGCUUCCUCCAAGGGGGAAACGGCCUCUUCAGCUUCCACUGCACUGAUUUCAGAUGACUCAGCCAAUGGGGCCACAGAUUCAUCAGAGUUCCAUGUUGUUAAAGGAAAACUUCUGUUACCAGGCAACCUUAAUAUCAGAUUCAAUGUAAAAUAACCAAGAUUGUUUCCAAACAAACAUGCUACUAGUGCCUUAUCCUUCAAUGCUUCUUAAACACAGAGAAGUAUGAGGAAAAAGGAACAUGGCACUUCUUAAAAAAUAACACCUCUUCCAGGUUCAUUUUACCCAUAUCAUAAAGACUUAGAACUGUGGAUUCCCUACAGGAAUGUGGAGUGCGGGUGGAUCCCUACGUUGACCCAGCCUCCCCUCCAG
This is a long non-coding RNA of Macaca mulatta (Rhesus monkey), 2558 nucleotides long. Lineage: Eukaryota; Metazoa; Chordata; Mammalia; Primates; Cercopithecidae. The record is from Ensembl.